This 588-nucleotide long non-coding RNA is filed under the name Numida meleagris (helmeted guineafowl). Its description in RNAcentral is "lncRNA (ENSNMEG00000023096.1)". Lineage: Eukaryota; Metazoa; Chordata; Aves; Galliformes; Numididae. The record is from RNAcentral.
AUGGUGGACGGAUCACUCAUCUUUUUGACAUCCUGGAUGCACCAUGACUUCGCUGUGACAGUGUGCUCACAGACAUUGCUUAGCUCCCCACCUUCUUUUCCUGCCAGAAGCCACUGCACUCCUGUUAACACCACAUUCUACCGAGAAUGGAGCAGAAAAGAUUGCAGUGCAUCUCUGUGCCUUCAGUUGACUUCGGGUCUCAUUUCCAUCACCUCCCUGACCCGACACAGAGCCUGCAAACACAUCUCAGUGACGUUUCUCUAUGGAUACACAGACAUCAGCCAGUACAGAGGGUGGCUAGAGCUGGUCCGCACAGCUAGCUGUAACUCAGAGAACCCAUCCCAUCAUUCCAGUCAGUGGCGUGGCAUCAUCUCUGCUUUGUGACUGGAGUGCAAGCUCUUCUAUGCGUAUGGAAGAUGAAAGAUUCCCAAGUGAAUGCUUAUUUGGUCUGCCAAAUGUCAUUUGAAAUUAUAUUUGUGCUACAGUUUACAAAGACUCCACAUGUCACAGGCCUAUCUUAUGCACUUCUCUAAAUAAUUGUAGAUGAAACAAGGCAUGGUCAGAGCCAAGUGCCAAAUGAGUUAUGAC